RNAcentral lists this transfer RNA (87 nucleotides) under Candidatus Orphnella occulta. RNAcentral describes it as "tRNA-Leu". It matches the Rfam family "tRNA". Rfam says of the family: Transfer RNA (tRNA) molecules are approximately 80 nucleotides in length. Their secondary structure includes four short double-helical elements and three loops (D, anti-codon, and T loops). The record is from RNAcentral. Lineage: Bacteria; Pseudomonadati; Candidatus Omnitrophota.
GCGAGGAUGGCGGAAUUGGCAGACGCGCUAGGUUGAGGGCCUAGUGGAGGCAACUCCAUGGGGGUUCAACUCCCCCUCCUCGCACCA